CAGGACUCUUAUCGAACAUGUGAAGUUUGGGCAAGAUCGGACAUUUUAUGCCUGAGUUACAAUAACUUUUAUUCCCAUGGCGAGACAUCAAACUUUGUGACGGCGCCAUGGACACGCCCUUUAACGAAAACUCAAGAUCUUCACAAUUUAACAUCGCACAGGCCUUUAGAAUAGAGUGACUGAAAAAAAAAAAUUAUGUCAUAAAAUUUCUCGGGGUAGUUUGUUACAGUGUAAAAUAUGUCACUUCCUGUUGCCAGUAGGUGGCGCUAUGACUAUAACUGAAUAUGGGCAUAUCAAUCUGUUCAGGUCAGGAGUCUUAUCAAACAUGUGAAGUCUGUGGCAGAUUGGACAUUGUAUGUCUGAGUUAUAGCAACUUCAUUUUUCAUGGCGAAUCAUCGAAAUUCGUCAGGCCGCCACAGACACGCCCUUCAACGAAAACUCAAGAUCUUCGCAAUUUAACAUCGCAAAGGCCUUUAGAUUAGGCAUACCAAAUUUGGUGUUGAUCUGAAUAAAUCUCUAGGAGGAGUUCGUUAAAAUACAAGGCAUGCAAAUGACAAAAAUGAUGCAAAAUUUGCUCAUAAAAUUAAAAAUAACCGACUUCCUGUUGGGUUUCGGAUAUUGCUCCAAGAGUCUUUUUUGUAGGUACUGAUGCUUUACAUAUGUGUGCCAAUUUUCGUGCAUGUACGUGAAACACAGCUCGAGGGCUGUUGAUUUUUUUACGAUAGGUGGCGCUGUCGAGCCAUUUUGCCACACCCUCUUCUGAAACCUAUAUCAUCCGUAAAUUUUCACCAGGUCUGACGCGUGUGCAAAGUUUCAGGACUUUUCGAGCAUGUUUAGGCCCUCAAAAAUGCGAUUCAUUUUGGAGAAGAAGAAGAAGAAGAAGAAGAAGAAGAAGAAGAAUAAUAAUAAAUAUAGCUGCAAGCAGCGAUGGCGGGCCCGAGCCGUCAGCGCAAACGCCACCCCGGUGGCAUCAGGAAAGCUGUGCCCAGCGGACACAUACA
Long non-coding RNA from Cyprinus carpio carpio, 1001 nucleotides. NCBI's taxonomy places the organism in Eukaryota, Metazoa, Chordata, Actinopteri, Cypriniformes, Cyprinidae. The record is from Ensembl.